CUUUGUCAGUUCGUUCGUCAUCUUUCACCCGUCGUUGUUUUUUGUUGUCAUGGUUCUUGUGUCUUCUUCAUGUUCCCAGUGUCUUCGUGUUCCUAGUGUUUUCUAUGUUUUUUCAGUUUUUUGUGAUUGUAUUUAUUAAAUCAAAUUUUCACUCCAAUAUUGAUUCAAGUUUUGAAUCCUGGAUUAGAACCUUCAUGAUGCAACUUUACCUGACCUUGUCAGGUGCCAUUGUUGUGGAACGGAGCGCUCUGCCAGCUGUGAUCGAGGUCCCCUGCUCUCAAUGAACAGCUGCUUCUAAACAUGCAACUUCAGAGAAUCAAGCACAUGCUGUUAAUUAACGUUUUUCUUUCCGAUAUUCAUUUUUUUGUUUAAAAGCAGGACUCAAUUUUGUAAUGCUGUUACUCGAGAGCUGGAGCUUGAGUGCAGGAAAUCUGUCCAAGCAACAAAACACCUGAGUGCAGCCACAGAGCCUGAGCACAAGCAGAGCAAAUCAACCAGAAUUUGAAAUCAAUGUUUGCCGCUUGCAAACUGAAAAACGACUCUCUUGAAUAAAGAUCGUUAAAACAAAACAUA
Hippoglossus stenolepis (Pacific halibut) is the source of this 573-nucleotide long non-coding RNA. RefSeq lists it as uncharacterized. The record is from RefSeq and is a predicted model, not a curated record. Lineage: Eukaryota; Metazoa; Chordata; Actinopteri; Pleuronectiformes; Pleuronectidae. The transcript has 3 exons.